Long non-coding RNA from Papaver somniferum (opium poppy), 804 nucleotides. RefSeq lists it as uncharacterized. NCBI's taxonomy places the organism in Eukaryota, Viridiplantae, Streptophyta, Magnoliopsida, Ranunculales, Papaveraceae. The transcript has 3 exons. The record is from RefSeq and is a predicted model, not a curated record.
ACCAAAGCUCAAGAGACGUUCAGCUGCAAUUAAGGUCUCAAGAAUGCAAGUUCUCACAUCAAAGCGUUGAAGUUCAAAUGGGUGGCUACAUGUUUUGUGUUGCUACUUGUUGCGAUGCACGGAGAACUGGAUUAUGUUGAAAGUAUGAUCAAUGAGAUCAAAUUUCUACCAUCGGGUCGGACCAUCAGAGUCUUGCGCCAGUGCUUCCUAACAGCUUCCAACUACACAAGUGGUGUGGGAUCCAAUUGGUCAGAGUUUUGCAUUAGCAAUUCUCUGCAGGGCUUCGAAACACACUAGUGGAGCUUCAUCUGAGAGGAUAUGAAGAUGUCGAUCAUGAGGAACCAGUUAGCAACAAGCUUACCUACUGAAAGCAGUCAAAAGUUAUAUUCGCAUUUGCAUUUGCAGCAACAAUCUGACUAGUACAUCAUCCCUAGGAAUUCGAAUCAAAUUGAGUUUUUUUCUGCUUGACUUCUAAUUCUAUGCAGUCAGAUGUUUAUUUUUGGAUGGUUUGUGGACAGAUGUUCCUAGCUGGGAUGAGGAACCGGUGACUAUCCAAAAAUUGAAAGAAUGUAUAUAUGGAAUGAAGCUUCCCUUCUUCUUCGUUGGGUUUUCUUCUGUUUGAUAACUGUUGUUUUUCGGGUUGUAAGCUCUUGGAGCUGUUCUUGUUUGCUCACCACUAGCAGCUCUAUUUAAUACAGUUCUUACUUUUGCCGGGAGAAAAAAAGAUAAUCUCACCGCUAGCAGCCAACUUGUUGUAUGCAACUUUAAAUUAGUUCAACACCUUCAGGCCUAUUUCUUGUGUUU